Molecule: ribosomal RNA, 441 nt
Filed under: Synalpheus sp. 'rufus'
Lineage: Eukaryota; Metazoa; Arthropoda; Malacostraca; Decapoda; Alpheidae
Description: partial 16S ribosomal RNA
Rfam family: Bacterial large subunit ribosomal RNA
Source: RNAcentral
CUGAGUUUUAAAGGGCUGCGGUAAUUUGACCGUGCAAAGGUAGCAUAAUCAAUAGUCUUUUAAUUGGGGGCUUGAAUGAAAGGUUUGACGGAAGGGAAACUGUCUUUCUGAUUUAUAUUGAAUUUAACUUUUGUGUGAAAAGGCAUUAAUGGUUUAAAGGGACGAUAAGACCCUAUAAAACUUUAUAUAUUAUAUUAUUUAACUAAAGUGUUAUAUUAAUUGUUAAAUAGUUAAUUGUAUUUUGCUGGGGCGGCAAAAAUAUAACUGUAACUGUUUAAGAUAUGAAAUAUUUAUUAAUAAAAAAUGGUCCUUUAUUAAGGAGAUAAGAGUAAGUUACUUUAGGGAUAACAGCAUAAUUUCUUUAGAGAGUUCUUAUCGAAGAAGUUAGUUGUGACCUCGAUGUUGAAUUAAAUUUUCCUUUAGGUGUAGGAGUUUAAAGGG